UAGGGAAUCUUCCACAAUGGACGCAAGUCUGAUGGAGCAACGCCGCGUGAGUGAAGAAGGUUUUCGGAUCGUAAAGCUCUGUUGUUGGUGAAGAAGGAUAGAGGCAGUAACUGGUCUUUAUUUGACGGUAAUCAACCAGAAAGUCACGGCUAACUACGUGCCAGCAGCCGCGGUAAUACGUAGGUGGCAAGCGUUGUCCGGAUUUAUUGGGCGUAAAGCGAGCGCAGGCGGAAUGAUAAGUCUGAUGUGAAAGCCCACGGCUCAACCGUGGAACUGCAUCGGAAACUGUCAUUCUUGAGUGCAGAAGAGGAGAGUGGAAUUCCAUGUGUAGCGGUGGAAUGCGUAGAUAUAUGGAAGAACAUCAGUGGCGAAGGCGGCUCUCUGGUCUGCAACUGACGCUGAGGCUCGAAAGCAUGGGUAGCGAACAGG
RNAcentral lists this ribosomal RNA (429 nucleotides) under bacterium. RNAcentral's name for it is "partial 16S ribosomal RNA". It matches the Rfam family "Bacterial small subunit ribosomal RNA", at positions 355 to 776 of the family's 1533-position model. The record is from RNAcentral.